Molecule: non-coding RNA, 949 nt
Organism: Erythranthe guttata (spotted monkey flower)
Lineage: Eukaryota; Viridiplantae; Streptophyta; Magnoliopsida; Lamiales; Phrymaceae
Source: RefSeq, a predicted model, not a curated record
AGGGUUUAUUGUACUUUAUAAUGAGAAUUGGGGACUGAUGUGUUAUUAUGUAAUAAUUUUGGGGCAUAAGCAUAAUAAUAAUUCUAUAAUUUAGUAACUUGGCCAUUAAGCAAUUGAGGGGCUUGUGUAAUCGGAUAAUUGAAUGUUAUUAACCAAGAAAAUUAGAGAGAGAGACACGUAGAAUAAAAGAUGAGUCAGACUUCCUCUUCAUCUUCAUCCGAUUCUUCCUACACUUCACUCCUCUUCUCCAAACUCCUUUCUCUCUCUCGCUCUCUCUCAUCAUCUCUCUCUUUCUCUCUCGCCCGCUCUCUCUUCCUCUCUCUCUCGAUCCUUGGCUGAAAUCAUGGAAGUUAAUUGAAGAAAAAAAAGUCGGAUUUAUAGUGGUGGUGGUCUCCAGCAGCAGUCGCCGGCGGUGGUGGCUGGAAUCCGACAAAGAAGACGAGCUGUCCAGAAUUUCAAUUUCAGAGUUUUGCCUUUUCCGUAAAUCAAUUAAACGGAGGUCUUAAAGAUGGAGCAUCGAUGAUCCGAAGGUACCGUUCGAAACCUUAAUAAGUUAGAUUUCCAGUGGUGGUGGUUCUUGAUUGUUUACAUCAGCGGUGGUCAUCGGAAUUGGCUAGAACUUCAGCUCGCUCGUUGAAACGAAGGGAAGCAAAUUCUGCUGCCGCACCUGUUUUCGGAGCCGAAAUCGAAGGGUUUCGAAUGCGAAUUUCGAAUCGGUUCCUUCAGGAAACUCGUAGAGGACAUCGUAAACUAUAAGUGUCGAGCGUACUAAAGCUCUCACUCAAGGUUUAAGCUUAAAGAUGCACCUAUAGAACUAGCAUUGGACUCCAGGUGAGAAACUAUGACUCCUUAUCCAAUUUCUUUCCUGCGCAUAAUAUCUCCUUUGUUUGAACCGAAUAUUUUGUAUAUAUUGAAGCCUUCGAUACCUUGAUUAUAUUUGUUCUUGAAA